RNAcentral lists this ribosomal RNA (1459 nucleotides) under uncultured prokaryote. RNAcentral's name for it is "partial 16S ribosomal RNA". It matches the Rfam family "Bacterial small subunit ribosomal RNA". The record is from RNAcentral.
AACGAACGCUGGCGGCACGCCUCAUACAUGCAAGUCGAGUGCGAAACCACCUUCGGGUGAUGUAAAGUGGCGAACGGGUGAGUAACAGGUGGACAACCUGCCUCUUGGUGGGGGACAACGGCCGGAAACGGCCGCUAAUACCGCACGUGAUUGCCGGCUAAUGGCCUGCAAGGAAAGGCGCCUCAAAGCGCCACCAGAAGAUGAGUCCGCCCCCCAUUAGCUAGUUGGCGGGAUAACAGCUCACCAAGGCUUCGAUGGGUAGCCGAGCUGAGAGGUUGAUCGGCCACACUGGAACUGAGAUACGGUCCAGACACCUACGGGUGGCAGCAGUAGGGAAUAUUGCGCAAUGGGCGAAAGCCUGACGCAGCCAUGCCGCGUGAGUGACGAAGGCCUUCGGGUCGUAAAGCUCUUUUAUGAGGGAAGAAUAGGUCUGCGAGGAAAUGCGCGGAUUCUGACGGUACCUCAGGAAUAAGGAGCGGCUAACUCCGUGCCAGCAGCCGCGGUAAUACGGAGGCUCCUAGCGUUGUUCGGAAUUACUGGGCGUAAAGGGAGCGCAGGCGGAUUGGUAAGUCUGAAGUGGAAUCCCGGGGCUCAACCUCGGAAGUGCUUCGGAUACUGCCAGUCUUGAGUUCGUGAGAGGAAAGCGGAAUUCAGGGUGUAGCGGUGAAAUGCUUAGAUAUCCUGAGGAACACCAAUGGCGAAAGCAGCUUUCUGGCACGUAACUGACGCUGAGGCUCGAAAGCGUGGGUAGCGAACGGGAUUAGAUACCCCGGUAGUCCACGCCGUAAACGUUGUCAACUAGGUGCGGGGGGUAUCGACCCCUUCCGUGCCGCAGCUAACGCAUUAAGUUGACCGCCUGGGGAGUACGCGCGCAAGCGUGAAACUCAAAGGAAUUGACGGGGGCCCGCACAAGCGGUGGAGCAUGUGGUUUAAUUCGAGGCAACGCGAAGAACCUUACCCAGGCUUGACAUCUCAGGAAUCCUCUGGAAACAGAGGAGUGCCUUUCGGGGAGCCCCAAGACAGGUGCUGCAUGGCUGUCGUCAGCUCGUGCUGUGAGGUGUCGGGUUAAGUCCCAUAACGAGCGCAACCCCUAUCCUUAGUUGCCAGCGAGUAAUGUCGGGGACUCUAGGGAAACUGCCGGUGCAAACCGAGAGGAAGGUGGGGAUGACGUCAAAUCAGCACGGCCCUUACGUCCAGGGCUACACACGUGUUACAAUGGCCGAUACAGAGGGCAGCUACCUGGUGACAGGAUGCAAAUCUCGAAAGUCGGUCUCAGUUCGGAUCGGAGUCUGCAACUCGACUCCGUGAAGGUGGAUUCGCUAGUAAUCGCGUAUCAGCAAUGACGCGGUGAAUACGUUCCCGGGCCUUGUACACACCGCCCGUCAAGCCAUGGAAGCUGGGGGUACCUGAAGUCUGUAACCGCAAGGAGCGGCCUAGGGUAAAACUGGUAACUAGGGCU